CCUACGGGCGGCAGCAGUGAGGAAUAUUGGUCAAUGGACGAGAGUCUGAACCAGCCAAGUAGCGUGAAGGAUGACUGCCCUAUGGGUUGUAAACUUCUUUUAUAAAGGAAUAAAACGAGGCACGUGUGCCUUUUUGCAUGUACUUUAUUAAUAAGGAUCGGCUAACUCCGUGCCAGCAGCCGCGGUAAUACGGAGUAUACGAACGUUAUACGGAUUUAUUGGGUUUAAAGGGAGCGUAGAUGGGUUGUUAAGUCAGUUGUGAAAGUUUGCGGCUCAACCGUAAAAUUGCAAUUGAUACUGGCAGUCGUGAGUACAGUUGAGGUAGGCGGAAUGCGUGGUGUAGCGGUGAAAUGCUUAGAUAUCACGAAGAACCCCGAUUGCGAAGGCAGCUUACUAAACUGUGACUGACAUUGAUGCUCGAAAGUGUGGGUAUCAAACAGGAUUAGAUACCCUGGUAGUC
Molecule: ribosomal RNA, 460 nt
Filed under: uncultured bacterium
Lineage: Bacteria
Description: partial 16S ribosomal RNA
Rfam family: Bacterial small subunit ribosomal RNA
Source: RNAcentral